GAAAUCCUGAAAUGCACGACAACUUGCCAUAUUUGAACCUACAUUUUUGACUCGGGACUCCUAUAUGCGGCAGAUAUGUCAGGCCUCAAGCUAAUUCCCUUUGGGCAGAGGAAGGCAGAGUCUGAAGCUGCGGACACCCACCUGGCUGAGGCUAGGUGUCAAGAGGCAAGACCGACAUUUUGGGAUUAUU
Molecule: non-coding RNA, 190 nt
Filed under: Bacillota bacterium
Lineage: Bacteria; Bacillati; Bacillota
Description: 6S RNA
Rfam family: 6S / SsrS RNA
About the family: E. coli 6S RNA was the first non coding RNA to be sequenced, but its function was unknown until recently. It consists of 184 nucleotides that fold into an extended hairpin structure with a large single-stranded internal bulge.
Source: RNAcentral